GCCUGCCCUGCGGGGAGCUGGGGGGCAGAAGUCGCGAGCAGGGGUCUUGUCCUGUCGGCCACUUGUAGCGGGAGUGGCGCGGGCCUGCGCCUCCAGAGGGCCGCGGCAGCGCGGCAGGGGCGGCUCCCGGCCCGCACGGUCUGGGUGGGCUCCCUCUCCCCCUGCGGGGGUUCGAGCGCCCCCACCCCCGCUGUGGGCUGAGGGCCAGGAGCGGCCGGCCGAGCACGAAGGGAGGGAGUUCGCGGGCGCAGUGGGGCUGAAGAAGGCUACGGAUCCAGUGGGGGCAGAGGCUAGUGCCCGAGUGGGGGUCUCGGGAGGAGGGGUAGAGGCCAAAACAAAGGAGAUGGGCGAGGAGGGGGAAGUUGCAAGUUGACCCUAGGCGAGGUUGUUGGGGCCCAGGAAGAUGAGAGUACAGGAAAAACUUUCCCAUUUGUCCUUGAGCAUCUCAACGUGGCAUCUGGGCAGGGCCUGGGACAAAGAGGCAGCCUAUCGGUGCGGCCAGGCCAGCCCUCGUCCCAGCCCAGCUCGGGGCAUCUCGCCUUUCCACCCCCUCUCACUGUGUUCACACAGCCCCCUGGGCGAGGCAGAAUCCUCUUCUCCGAGUCCCCGAGCCCUUUCCCGGGCCCCGGCUGCCUUCUCUGAGAAGCGCGAGCUCCACCCUGUUGCUUUUUGAGUGCACUUGUAAUGUUUCACUUCGAUGUGCACAUUUGGACUUUGGCCAGAGAGUUAGAGGCUGAACUGUAUUUCAGACCUCUCAAAGAUUCAGUCCUUUACAAGUGAACGCCUGCUUCCUUACCUCUUUGCGUGGAAUUGUUAGACGCCAGUCCUGGGGACCAUAUGGAAUAAUCUCUUGGGAAUGUGCACCCCAAGCAUCAAGCAGGGAUGACUACUUUUCCAGGUUCCCACUUCCUGCUGUACCAGUUUCUGUCGUGUUCCUUGUUUGGAAUCGGCUUCAGGCUUGUGCUUUGGCUGCCUGUGACUGGGCUGUGCUAAUAUUGAACAUUCACUGGUGUAAUUAAGGCCAUCCUGUACCAUAAGAAACUCUGGCUUCCAUUCCCUUUGUGUUUCUGUUUAAAAACACCCUAUGCCAAACAAUAUGCCUUUGUUCGGAAAAAAAAAAAAAAAAGUAUGUGUAAUCGGGUAAUUGGGUGGCUGGACAGCUUGGUUAGAUGAGUGACUUUUAAGCCUUUUUUGACCACAGUCCACAAUAAGAAAUGCAUGUUACAACAUCCCCUGAUACCCACAUACAUAGACUGUCUCCCAAAGGUGAUUCAUUAAAUAGUGUUUACUCUUGCUAUAUAGUGUGAUACCUUCUUUUAAAGCUGUUUGUGACUCAUGAGCUGUUUUUAAGAUCUCCUCAUGGGUUGAGACCCGCAGUUUACAGAAAUGAUGGUGUAGAUAAAAUUCUGACAUUUUGUAAGAAGCAUUUUGCAAGAGAGGAUGGCUGUUGAAAUGCCAGAGUGUUUUCCUUCCCAACUGAACACAGGAUAAGGAAAGGAGUCAGUUUGCUAGUUCACAGUAAAUGUUCGAAAUUCUGCUUUAUAAACGUUGUGUAUCAGAUUUUUUUUUUUUUUUUGAGUGGGGUUAGUUUUUACUCUGGGUGAGUCCCAGCUUUCUAUGGCACUUGGGUAAGAAUAUUAUUUUCAAAGCUGUUGGGUGCUUGGAAAGUUAAUUUCCUUCGUCUCUAUGGUCAGUUCUGUUUUCUUGGAUGAAGGCUUUGCUGGACAGCUCUGUCUCACCUAUAAAUAAAAGUUUUUGUCAGAGUCAGUUGCUUUGAGCCACAGAGGAUAUGACAUUGGAUUUUAAAAUAAGUCAAGCCCCUUACGUAUGCAUUUAGGAGUGUCAGUGUGUCUUUCUUUGUAAGUGCAGGCUGAGUUUGGAAUCCAGUAGUGCAACUAACCUUUACGAGUCUUCUUUGAUCAUACUUCAUGCUUGGCACUGUGCUAGGCACUGUGGGUACAUUUUUUCAUUUGACUGGUGGCACAUAUUUGUCCCAAGCUCUAUUCCUGUGAGAGGUGAUGAGAAUUUAUUUAUUUUUUUCUGCAGGAAGCCCUUAUGGAUAAAAAUAGGAUUUUAGUCUGGAUUCCUUGAUUCAGCCUCCUUUGUGGCCAUUGCUCAACAUUUAAAACACAAUAGUAACCACACUGCUAUUUUUUCACGUAUAAAAUUCUUCUGGGAGCAGGCCUUCUGUUUGCAUUUUUUUUAUUUUUAUUUUUUAAAGACUUUAUUUUUAAGCAAUCUCUACACCCAACGUGGGCUAGCAGUCAUGAUCCCGAGAUCAAGGGUCACACGCUCCACCGACUGAGCCAGCCAGGCAUCCCUGAAAAUUAUUUUAAAUUACCAAAUCUUUCGGUUAAUAUCACAAGACUCUCAUUACAUUUUUCCCUUACUUACAAGUUUUAGAAACCUCAGUUGCCGCCAAACUUGUCUAUAUUUAUGUGAAAAAGUCCAUGUGAAGAAAGUUUAAAGACAGUAAUCACUGCAGGGCAUAUCAAAAAAGUUUUUUGAAUCAUAGAAUAAAAAGGAGGUUUUUAAAGUGCAGGUGCCAUUGACACAUGCAGCAUUAUAUUUGUUUCAAGUGUACAACCUAUUGUGAUUCAACAUUUGUAUACAUUGGGAAAUGAUCUCCACGAUAAGCCUGCUAACCCAUCUGUCAACCUACACAGUUAAUGCAAUAUUACUUAUUGUAUUUCCUGUGCUCUACGUUCGUCCCCAUGAUGUAUUUAUUUUAUAACUGGAAGUUUGUAUUUCCUGAUCUCCUUCACCAAUUUCAUACCCCCCUCCCC
Molecule: long non-coding RNA, 2786 nt
Organism: Herpailurus yagouaroundi (jaguarundi)
Lineage: Eukaryota; Metazoa; Chordata; Mammalia; Carnivora; Felidae
Exons: 2
Source: RefSeq, a predicted model, not a curated record